UGCAACUAGAGGGCACAGCCAUUUUCUUCCCAAUAAUGCACCAGGAGAAGGAUGCAACAUCAUGACAUUACUUCCUGCUCUGGUGCAUUCUGGGACAAUUUGAAUUGCUGCUGCUGCCACUGCCUUCUUUCUUGCUGCCACUUUCUUCAGGGAAUCCCAGAUAUUCAGGAAAGCCCAGGAUUAUGUACUCUGACGGGCAGCAUUUCUCCAAGGUCCCUGGCAGGAGUCUUCAACAGCCAUGCCUGGAGGUACCAGAGAUUGAACUUGAGACUUUCUAUCAAUAUCCCUGAGACCCUGGACUUUGGAAUGCACUCCCUGCCAGGAUAUGAGGCUGCAAACCGCCUAGAGACUAGUGAUUGGGCGGUAUGUCCGUGUACUGAAUAAAACAAACAAGCAGGCAAGCAAAUGGGCCUUCCUAGCUUUGUCCAAGAGUGCAAACACAAACACACCACCCUGCUGCCUGUGCCAUUUCCAGCAUCCAUGCCACAGGUUGUUCAGCCUGUAGCCUAGGGCUUCUGAAAGGCAAAUUCAGCACACCUGGAACAAAAUCUACUUGUACUUCCUUAUGGAGGAUGUUACAUCGGAAGCUGCCUUAUACCAAGUCAGACCUCUGGUCCAUCUAGCUCAGUAUUGCCUACCCUGUCUGGCAGUGGCUCACCAUGAUUUCACAAAGGAGUCUUUCCCAGCCCUACCUGGAGAUACCAGGGAUUGAACCGAGGACCAUCUGCAUGCAAAACAGGUGCCAAGAAGUUCAAGCACCCUCCAUAUUCCACAGCAUUAUAGGCUGCUGUAGCACAUCCUUGGACUAAUGCAAGUCUCUUUUUGUGUAGCCCUAUUCAGACAUUAUGUUGUACCCAGGGCCGUGGGGCCUCCUUUGCGAGCUAAGCUACGCCCCCUGCAUCUGAUGUCAGAUGCAGGGGGCGUGGCUUAUUUAUGUAUGUAUGUAUAUACUGCCCAAAACUUGCAUCUCUGGGCUUAAUGAUGUCAGAUGCAUCUGAUGCAGGGGGCGGGGCUAGGGUCGUGGUGGCCACCGCUGGUCUCUUUCUGCCCCUGGCAGUGGGGCUGCUGGUUGGUUCAUUGCUCUCCUCUCCUGCCUACCUGACCCAUUGGCAAGCUGCUGACUCCUGAUCAGAGUGCGAGGAGAGUGUGAUAUUAUUUCCAUAGGAGUGGGAGAAAUAGUCUGCUGAGAUUGUUAUAUUUUUCAACAUGUCCUUAACAUUCUUCUGCAGCAAAAGCAGGGGGCAGGGGGGGAGAAGGCAGGGGGCCCAGAGGCCCAUCUUCAUUUCUUAUCCCAUGGCCCCCUUCAACCUUGUUAUGCUUCUGGUUCAAUAAAACAAUAUCCCCAGGGUGGCCACUAGGAUAAAAACGUACAAUUUAAAAUAAUAAUUAAAACAGAGCAAAAUAAAUAAAUAAAAAUAGCAGAGACCACAGAAUAAACAACAGCAAGGUACCAUUAAAAGCAGCUCAGUCGAUACUGUAAAAAGGCCCAGGGAAAUUUUAAAAGGCUGAAAAGACCCAAGAAGGUGCACCAAGCAAACUCCCCUGAGGAGAGCAUUCCGAAAAUGCCCUCUCCAUAGUUGCCACCCAUCUUCUGAAAGUGGGGCCCCUUGAGAAAGGGCCACGGGCAACUCUCUUACUGUACAGGCUGGUACAUGUGAGAAAAGAUCAUUUGUAUAGGUAAGCACCACCAGCACUUUGAAUUGUGUUCCGAAACAGACUGACAGCCAAUGAAGCUAUUUCCAAAUUGGCAAGAUGAGUUCCCUAAACCUGGACUCAGUUAGCAGCCUAGCGGUUGUAUAUGUCACACACAAAGGCAGAAAUUGCUAUCCUGUUGUUAGGGGGCUAUUACACCUUUGCAGAACCUUAAACCUGCCAGAAUUUAAUGCCUUUGGGUUCUUCACUUUGAAUUUUCAAGCUCUCUCGCUCUCUCUCACGCUCUUGCUCUCUCGCUCUCUCUGUAUAAAGAGAUUAGUAGCAAACAUCAUCUCAUACCUUCUCCUAUCCAACCUUGUAAAUCUGAUGCUGCCCUUGGUUAAAAGCACCGGUGUUAAAUACUAACACCACUCCUCUCCUUGUGCCUUUCUGACUCUUUGCUUUUCUUUGCAGAUUUCAAGGUGAUGACAAAAGAGAGAACAGUCUUAGCAUUUGUUAAUACCCACUUGACCCACAAAAGAAAUUCACUAGUAUUUGCAGCUUCUAAUUUAAAAACCAUUAGACCGUUCCGCUUGGCGGACCAGAUCUAAAUAUUCUUAAAGGGGUGGUUUAAUUUAAUCAUUACCUUAACAAGCCCCCUUUUAAAAUGAUGAUCCGCCAAAUUCAGGGGAUUUGUUUUGGAAUCUGAUCCAAUAACUGGCUUUGCACAAAGAGAAGCAUAGCUGCAUCUGAUUUGGUUCAGAACGGGGUGAUAAUCAUGAAAAUUACUUUGCAUAUUUAAUCACUGUGAAAACAUGAGUACAAACUACUUUCUAGAGAUUACCUUAAAAAUGAAGGGGGGGGGGAAGCUUCAGGCUUUGCAGCAAGCAUGCCAAGUACUUUGAUUUACAGAGAAUUAUUUGGAUUUUAUAGAAAGCUCAGUGUUUCAAAGACUUCAAGCUAGUCAGCCACUGGCAAAGAAACAGUUUUCACAGUGAAGGCGAAAGGGGGGAAAGGAAGAGAAGAGAAGAAAAACUCAUGACUUCUUUAAAAAUAAUUUUCAGACCAAUUGCUUCAGCCUGUGCAACUCAGAGGUUUUUUUAAAUGUAAAUUCAAAAAAUAUAAUAAUGCUACUGAAAUAAUUUUACUACUGACCAAGGAAUCCAAGCGGUUUCAUAUGUUUAAUUUCUUUCCAGGGUGCCUCCUAAGAUCUGUAAAUUUUAACUCCUUCACAAAAUAAAAUGUUAGCUCAGAAAACAUCGCAGUUUAAUUAAAAAACAAAUAUAUUCUAGAGCUGAGAUGAAAAUAUUCACUGGUUUUCCACUAACAUUUUCAGAAGUGCCAAAAAUGCCUGCCUUUUUUGUCAGUUUUCAACACUCACUGUGAAAAUGUUUGCUUAUUUAUCUUUAUUUCCCUCACUUGCAUUUGCUCAAUUAGUUUUCAGUGACAUCAUCACGUAGCCAGAUCUUAUAAGUUAUGUAUGCUAUGACAUCAUCCUGCUCACUGUGUGGUUCCUAACUGGAUGGGACAGAUCCACAAAGGAGGAAGGAGUUGCAGCAGCCAGUGGGAAUAAUGGAACAGGAUAAAAGAAAAGUGAAUCUUUGUAUAAUUGCUUUCCUGGGUUAAAAAAAAUCUACUCCAUGAAAACUGCUAGUUUCUGUCUGAAAAUCAAAACUGGAAAAAUGUUCAGUGUAGCCUUAAUAUAUACUACAGUGCAGCAGAAAGAGAGAAAUACUACACUCACUAUUCCUAAGAACCAGGAUUAUCAACUGAUUAAAUAAUCUGCAAUUAAUUGAUUAAUCAUUUGUCAACUGUUUAAACAUUUAAUAUAUCAAUUACAUUUAAAUAAACUUGCAUAUUCUCAAAUCAUUAACAUAGAAAGUGUAGGAAGUAUGAAAUAACUUGCAAUUGAAUAAAUACAAUAUCGUUUAUUUCUUCCUGAUCAGAAAGGAAAAAUCUUUACUCUCCUUUUCCCCCCAUUCUCUGCUAAAACAACCUAGAAGAACAAAAUAUACGCUUUUAAAAUGUACCUAAAUAGGCUUUAUUGGCUAAAAUUGAAGCCUAAUGACUAACCAACUAAUACGAAAGUUGAUUGAUCCACCUAUUUAUCCAAUGAAAACUUGCAGCCCUACUAAGAAUUAAGUCAGAGAAAACUGAGCAACAACUGGAAUUAAAAGCUGAUAAGAAAAUGAGAACGAGUCCCCUCAGUCCUUUUACUGCAUACAAAAAUGUUUGGAGCAUAUAUAAGCUAAACUGAAAAUUCCAUAUAUUUGAACACAUAUCUGGCAGCAGCCUUUUUGUAGGACAGC
Long non-coding RNA from Hemicordylus capensis (graceful crag lizard), 3941 nucleotides. RefSeq lists it as uncharacterized. The record is from RefSeq and is a predicted model, not a curated record. The transcript is spliced from 3 exons. NCBI's taxonomy places the organism in Eukaryota, Metazoa, Chordata, Lepidosauria, Squamata, Cordylidae.